UGAAAACCUGAGAACUUGAAAGUAAC
This 26-nucleotide non-coding RNA is filed under the name Rattus norvegicus (Norway rat). Lineage: Eukaryota; Metazoa; Chordata; Mammalia; Rodentia; Muridae. The record is from RNAcentral.